Molecule: ribosomal RNA, 253 nt
Filed under: uncultured bacterium
Lineage: Bacteria
Description: partial 16S ribosomal RNA
Rfam family: Bacterial small subunit ribosomal RNA
Source: RNAcentral
UACGUAGGGGGCUAGCGUUGUCCGGAAUCAUUGGGCGUAAAGAGCGUGUAGGCGGUCCGGUAAGUCCGCUGUGAAAGUCGGGGGCUCAACCCUCGGAUGCCGGUGGAUACUGUCGGGCUUGAGUACGGAAGAGGCGAGUGGAAUUCCUGGUGUAGCGGUGAAAUGCGCAGAUAUCGGGAAGAACACCCGUGGCGAAGGCGGUUCUCUGGGACGGUACUGACGCUGAGACGCGAAAGCGUGGGGAGCGAACAGG